CCGGCACGGGUGAGUAACACGUAUCCAACCUGCCGUCUACUCUUGGACAGCCUUCUGAAAGGAAGAUUAUACAAGAUGGCAUCAUGAGUCCGCAUGUUCACAUGAUUAAAGGUAUUCCGGUAGACGAUGGGGAUGCGUUCCAUUAGAUAGUAGGCGGGGUAACGGCCCACCUAGUCUUCGAUGGAUAGGGGUUCUGAGAGGAAGGUCCCCCACAUUGGAACUGAGACACGGUCCAA
Molecule: ribosomal RNA, 236 nt
Filed under: uncultured bacterium
Lineage: Bacteria
Description: partial 16S ribosomal RNA
Rfam family: Bacterial small subunit ribosomal RNA
Source: RNAcentral